RNAcentral lists this ribosomal RNA (447 nucleotides) under uncultured bacterium. Its description in RNAcentral is "bacterial SSU rRNA". It matches the Rfam family "Bacterial small subunit ribosomal RNA", at positions 329 to 793 of the family's 1533-position model. The record is from RNAcentral.
CGCCAGACUCCUACGGGAGGCAGCAGUGGGGAAUAUUGCGCAAUGGGGGAAACCCUGAUGCAGCGACGCCGCGUGAGUGAAGAAGUAUUUCGGUAUGUAAAGCUCUAUCAGCAGGGAAGAAAAUGACGGUACCUGAUUAAGAAGCCCCGGCUAACUACGUGCCAGCAGCCGCGGUAAUACGUAGGGGGCAAGCGUUAUCCGGAUUUACUGGGUGUAAAGGGAGCGUAGACGGUGAUGCAAGUCAGAAGUGAAAGCCCGGGGCUCAACUCCGGGACUGCUUUUGAAACUGUGUGACUGGAGUGCAGGAGAGGUAAGCGGAAUUCCUGGUGUAGCGGUGAAAUGCGUAGAUAUCAGGAGGAACACCAGUGGCGAAGGCAGCUUACUGGACUGUAACUGACGUUGAGGCUCGAAAGCGUGGGGAGCAAACAGGAUUAGAUACCCUUGUAC